UACGUAGGGGGCUAGCGUUAUCCGGAAUUACUGGGCGUAAAGGGUGCGUAGGUGGUUUCUUAAGUCAGUUGUGAAAGUUUGCGGCUCAACCGUAAAAUUGCAGUUGAAACUGGCAGUCUUGAGUACAGUAGAGGUGGGCGGAAUUCGUGGUGUAGCGGUGAAAUGCUUAGAUAUCACGAAGAACUCCGAUUGCGAAGGCAGCUCACUGGACUGCAACUGACACUGAGGCUCGAAAGUGUGGGUAUCAAACAGG
Molecule: ribosomal RNA, 253 nt
Filed under: uncultured bacterium
Lineage: Bacteria
Description: partial 16S ribosomal RNA
Rfam family: Bacterial small subunit ribosomal RNA
Source: RNAcentral